AUACCCGCUGAACUUAAGCAUAUCAAUAAGCGGAGGAAAAGAAACCAACAGGGAUUGCCUUAGUAACGGCGAGUGAAGCGGCAACAGCUCAAAUUUGAAAUCUGGCUCUUUUAGAGUCCGAGUUGUAAUUUGCAGAGGACGCUUUGGCUUAGGCCCCGGUCCAAGUUCCUUGGAACAGGACGUCACAGAGGGUGAGAAUCCCGUAUAUGGCCGGUGGCUUCCGCCGUGUGAAGCCCCUUCGACGAGUCGAGUUGUUUGGGAAUGCAGCUCUAAAUGGGAGGUAAAUUUCUUCUAAAGCUAAAUAUUGGCCAGAGACCGAUAGCGCACAAGUAGAGUGAUCGAAAGAUGAAAAGCACUUUGGAAAGAGAGUUAAAAAGCACGUGAAAUUGUUGAAAGGGAAGCGCUUGCGACCAGACUUGUCUUCAGUUGCUCAUCCGGUCCUUCCCCGG
This 449-nucleotide ribosomal RNA is filed under the name Thaxteriella pezizula. Its description in RNAcentral is "partial 28S large subunit ribosomal RNA". It matches the Rfam family "Eukaryotic large subunit ribosomal RNA", at positions 21 to 467 of the family's 3401-position model. The record is from RNAcentral. Lineage: Eukaryota; Fungi; Ascomycota; Dothideomycetes; Tubeufiales; Tubeufiaceae.